CUCUUCAUUCGUGGGAACGAGCUAUACUCGUCCGUGGUCGGUUUUCCUGUGCUGCAUACCAAUUGCUACGGCAUUCGAUUGGCUGAAACGGUCCCAUUCCCGCCCUGUGCCGGCGCUCCGUGCGGGCAUUCGACACGGGGUGGAUCUCAAGGCUCGCGUAGUGUUUCGCGCCGCAAUCACCUAAUUUGGUGUUUGGGUAGGCGACGCACGACGUGAUGCCCGUCGUCUCGGGUACGGAACAUCGGGUGGGUUCGAGGCAUUGUCCUUUGAUCACCACACAAAUGCGUUCUACGCUUUAUGCGAACGACAGCCGCGCRGCCUCCGACGGAGCACCCGUUGCUCGGUCGGAGUYGCUUCGGCGUCGGUGAGGGAUGC
RNAcentral lists this unclassified non-coding RNA (375 nucleotides) under Hyptis alutacea. RNAcentral describes it as "partial external transcribed spacer". Lineage: Eukaryota; Viridiplantae; Streptophyta; Magnoliopsida; Lamiales; Lamiaceae. The record is from RNAcentral.